CCCUUAGAUGUCCUGGGCCGCACGCGUGCUACACUGAUGCAUACAGCGAGCACUUCCCGGCCCCGAAAGGCGGCUGGUAAUCAGCAAUAUGCAUCGUGAUGGGGAUAGAUCUUUGGAAUUCUUGAUCUUGAACGAGGAAUGCCUAGUAGGCGCAGGUCAUUACCCUGCGUCGAUUAAGUCCCUGCCCUUUGUACACACCGCCCGUCGCUCCUACCGAUUCGAGUGAUCCGGUGAGCCUUUUGGACCGAGACUGCUUGCAGACUUGGGAAAUCAAGUAAACCACGUCACUUAGAGGAAGGAGAAGUCGUAACA
This 312-nucleotide ribosomal RNA is filed under the name uncultured eukaryote. Its description in RNAcentral is "partial 18S ribosomal RNA". It matches the Rfam family "Eukaryotic small subunit ribosomal RNA", at positions 1470 to 1796 of the family's 1831-position model. The record is from RNAcentral.